RNAcentral lists this transfer RNA (76 nucleotides) under Allobrachymonas sp. RNAcentral's name for it is "tRNA-His". It matches the Rfam family "tRNA". From Rfam's summary of the family: Transfer RNA (tRNA) molecules are approximately 80 nucleotides in length. Their secondary structure includes four short double-helical elements and three loops (D, anti-codon, and T loops). Lineage: Bacteria; Pseudomonadati; Pseudomonadota; Betaproteobacteria; Burkholderiales; Comamonadaceae. The record is from RNAcentral.
GGUGGCUGUCGUUCAAUGGCAGGACCCUGGUUUGUGAUUCCAGCGAUUUGGGUUCGAUUCCCAGCAGUCACCCCCA